Molecule: ribosomal RNA, 425 nt
Filed under: uncultured bacterium
Lineage: Bacteria
Description: bacterial SSU rRNA
Rfam family: Bacterial small subunit ribosomal RNA
Source: RNAcentral
AGGGAAUCUUCCGCAAUGGACGAAAGUCUGACGGAGCAACGCCGCGUGGGCGAAGAAGGUUUUCGGAUCGUAAAGCUCUGUUGCCGGAGAAGAACAGGCGGAGGAGGAAAUGCUUUCGUCUUGACGGUAUCCGGCCAGAAAGCCACGGCUAACUACGUGCCAGCAGCCGCGGUAAUACGUAGGUGGCAAGCGUUGUCCGGAAUUAUUGGGCGUAAAGGGCGCGCAGGCGGUUUCUUAAGUCUGAUGUGAAAUCUUGCGGCUCAACCGCAAGCGGUCAUUGGAAACUGGGAGACUUGAGUGCAGAAGAGGAGAGUAGAAUUCCACGUGUAGCGGUGAAAUGCGUAGAGAUGUGGAGGAAUACCGGUGGCGAAGGCGGCUCUCUGGUCUGUUACUGACGCUGAGGUGCGAAAGCGUGGGGAGCAAAC